This is a long non-coding RNA of Patella vulgata (common limpet), 1518 nucleotides long. RefSeq lists it as uncharacterized. The transcript has 2 exons. Lineage: Eukaryota; Metazoa; Mollusca; Gastropoda; Patellidae. The record is from RefSeq and is a predicted model, not a curated record.
ACAGGAAAUGAAAAUGGCAAUAUGGCGUACUAUCAAAAUAUUACAAACUAAAUAAUUAUUUUGUAGGUCUGCAACUGAUGGUCAACUGUCAUAUAAUUUUGCAGAGCUACACAUUUAUGUUGUUUCUAUUUAUGUGUGAAAAAUGUUAUUUGAACAAAUAUGGAUAUAGAACAAGAAGAAAAGGCUGUUUCUAUGACCUGCCGAGUUUGUGGCGAAAAGUUACGAUCAUAUCUCCAACUAGAAAAACAUUACAAAACACACGAUGGUGAAAAACCUUAUAAAUGCAAUGUUUGUGGUAAAACAUUUGGACACAAAUCAAAUCUUAUGGUUCAUUCAAAACUUCACAGUGGUGAAAAACCCUACUUGUGUGAAUUUUGCGGAAAACAAGACAGUGACAUUGGUAACUUACUAAAACAUAUUAAAGUUCACACAACAGACAGAUAUUAAAACAGUGAAGGUGAAUGUGUCUGUCACAAACAAGACUAGGAGAAUAUUAGAAUGUCAUUUUGCAGCCUUUCCAUUUGUGACCAUGGAAUGGUUUAGUUUGAGUUUCUUCCAUUUAUUUAUAAAAAAAACAUAAUUGGCUCAUCUAGUUGAAUUGCCCCAUUUGGUGGUGGAUUUUAGGGAAAAAGUUAAUUAUUCUAGCAUAGCCUAUAUGUUCUAUUCUGGAUUGGUAGCUGUUUUCUUUCAGAUCAACAUGCAUUAUUUUUAACCUGCAUAUAUCUAUUUUCAUGGUAUUGGUAGAAUAUUGUUUAUGUGUGUCGAACAAGGUGUGUGGAUAAUUAGUUCAUCAUUAUAUAUUGCUUCAGUGUGUUGUUAAAAAAACAAAAAUAAUUGAUGUGUAUGUGUCUAGUUUGUAAACUAAUAGCUAAAUAUGAGAAAUGGGAGGGGGUGGGUGGGGUGGCAAUGCUCCCUUAAAAAGUAGCACAGGCUGAACAGGCCGGUACUAUCGGAUCUGUGUAGCUGCUGGAUCAAACAAUGAGGCAGGUGGAGAGAGAGUAGACAUAAUAGAUAAAUAUAGCUAAAAAAAAUCAUCAUAGUUUUCAUAUUCUGUGUCGUCAUUAGCCCAGUCUGAGCAGAACAGUAGAACAUUAACUCCAUUUCAUUUCAUUUCAUUUCAUAGUUUUUGUAAUGAGAAAAUGAAAUGUAUUAUCAUAGAUGCAUUUGAAAUGUGUGGUCAGCUUAUAUUAAAUUGUCUGGGGUCUUGUGGAAUAUUGACAAAAAAAAUCAGCAUUUCAAAUGUGUUGUUUGCUUUAUGUAAAUAUUUUUACUGAAUUGACUGGUUCUUGUGGAAUACUGACGAAAAUAAAUCAACAUUAUUAAUUGAAAUGGUCAGUGUUAUGUGUUAAAUAUAUUUUACAUAUAUCUAUCUACAUUAUAUUUAUUAUAAUGAAAUAUUAUUCAGAUAUGAUUUUUAGACAUGAAUUAUUUAUGUUCAAGUGUAUAUUUUAAUUUUAUUGUGUUCGAAUUACAAAUGAUAUUUGAUAAAUUGAUUAUAAACUAACAGUACAGCUUGAA